AGAAUAUAAAAGUAUAUGAAUUCUCUUGAAAUUUAAAAGGGCAAUAUCAAGUCAAUUAACAAGUUUACAGUAACAAAGUGGUUAUUUGAACUUUAGUACUUGUUAACAUGAUUAAUUUAGACUUAAAUAAGAUUUUGAACUUUUUCAAAAACCUAAACUCUUUCAUUUAUUUAGAAUAGUUACAAUCUUGUUUUUACCAUUAAAGUGAAGAAAUAUAUUUAAUACGUUUCUAAAUCUCUGCCAGACAUUUCCAUGUUAUCUGAAAAAUAAAAUGUUCAUAUUGAUAGAGAUAAAGUGGUUAGUUAAAGUUAACUAAGAUAAUUUGACUAAUCUAAAAGUGAUCUUAAGGUGAGAAUAUGGAUGCAAUAUCGACAGUAGAUUAUUAGAAAAUAGUUUGCUCUUUCUCAUCAAGUCUCGGUAAGAGGAAGAGGACGAUUCGCAGCGAAUGUUGCAGCCUUGAUGACCGUGGAAAAAUUAAGCUGGAAGAGAAAACUUUCUCAUGACUCCGACGGCCGUCACCAGUCGAGCAAUUAGUUCGCUUUACGAUCAUGGAAUCUUAAAAAGUUUUCCACUUUUAAAACGAUUCGAGGAUCGUGCGAUUACACAACAGUCACACCGGCGCCACCAUGGAUUUUUUUCUUCUUCCGCUGAGGUUACACUCGAAGCAGUAAAAAUAAAUUUGACGAUUGUCCACUGUAACAUUUCAGCUUUUUGCGUUUCAUAAAUUUACACUUGAUAUCGGCGCUUUGGAAUUCACUCGACCGCUUUCUCCGUAAAGAAAGUGAAGUUGCAGAGAAGGAAGAAAGCAUCGAAAAACAAAAUAUCAUUCUACACGAAUGAAUGGAGGAAUAACUUGACGCCCACUAUGGAGACAUGCAUAUCGAUUUACGUCAUUCUUACAGAAUUGUUCUUGCUAAAGAUGUUUGUGGCAUGUUCAUUGAUGAAUUUCUUUCUGAAUCACGCCAAAAGAUGCAAUCCGCUCGAGAUGGAUGUCCUAAGCUAAGAGCCCAUCAUGCGGUUAUUUCGCAAUAUUUUUCGCACCACUUCCCACGAUCAGCGAUGCGUAACUUCUUUCACAUUCAAUACGUUCAAUAGAAAAUUAUCAUGGAAAAUUUGUAAGAUUUGAUUAAUCAUUAGUAAAUUUCUUUUACAAUUGCAAUUGAAGAUAAAAUAAUGAUCUAAAAGAUUGAUGUGUAAAAUUUUAAAAGUUAUGAAAGAAAUAUUUAUUAUUUAUAAAUUAUUUAGAUAAAUGAUUGUUGGAAUAUAUGGCAUAUUAUUAGUAUCUAUUAUAUUAACAUUGUUAAAAUUUUUUUAUACGAUUAUUUUCUAGAAGAAGAUUUUUUAGAGAAAGAAUAUCUAAGAAUAAAAUAUAAGAAUUGGAAGAUGCUCCACAAAGUAAGUAAUUUUAUUAAUUUUUUGAUGCGGAUGAUUAAGAAUAGUGGUUCAAAAUUAUUACUAUUAUUACUUCGUAUGUAAAUAUUCAAGAUAAAUCUAAAAACUUUACAUAUUCGUGAUCGCUAAGUUAAUGAUUUGCAUUUUUCUUCUUCUAGUUAAUCUUCAAAAAUAUAAGAUACUCGGGUACAGUGAAAUUAAAAUUGCAUCUUAUAUGCUAAUUUCUAACUAUUAAUUACUUAAAUGUCAAAAGUUGAAAUCGAUAUUUUUAUUUAACAUAAAGUUUGCCAUUGUUUAUGCAUGAAUAGAAAUAGAAUAUGCGAAGAGUAGAAAUAUAUUUGAUCUCAUGAUAAUUGGUUCUAAAAUAUGUCACUGACACAAAAAAUUUAUAACUUGAUAUUUAAUUUUAACAAUAUAAUAUUGUGAAGCAUAAAUCAAUUUAAUCAUCAAUUUUUGUAUAAAGAAAAAAAGUCAAUAAUAUUUAAUAUAUUUUAAU
Molecule: long non-coding RNA, 1888 nt
Filed under: Apis mellifera (honey bee)
Lineage: Eukaryota; Metazoa; Arthropoda; Insecta; Hymenoptera; Apidae
Description: uncharacterized LOC113218964
Source: RNAcentral